UGGGGAAUAUUGGACAAUGGGCGAAAGCCUGAUCCAGCCAUGCCGCGUGUGUGAAGAAGGUCUUCGGAUUGUAAACUAUCUUAGGUUGGGAGGAAGGGCAGUAAGCGAAUACCUUGCGGUUUUGACGUUACCGACAGAAUAACCACCGGCUAACUCUGUGCCAGCAGCCGCGGUAAUACGGAGGGUGCAAGCGUUAAUCGGAAUUACUGGGCGUAAAGCGCGCGUAGGUGGUUCGUUAAGUUGAAUGUGAAAGCCCCGGGCUCAACCUGGGAACUGCAUCCAAAACUGGCGAGCUAGAGUAGGGCAGAGGGUGGUGGAAUUUCCUGUGUAGCGGUGAAAUGCGUAGAUAUAGGAAGGAACACCAGUGGCGAAGGCGACCACCUGGGCUCAUACUGACGCUGAGGUGCGAAAGCGUGGGGAGCAAACAGG
This 429-nucleotide ribosomal RNA is filed under the name Pseudomonadota bacterium. Its description in RNAcentral is "Proteobacteria bacterium partial 16S ribosomal RNA". It matches the Rfam family "Bacterial small subunit ribosomal RNA", at positions 355 to 776 of the family's 1533-position model. Lineage: Bacteria; Pseudomonadati; Pseudomonadota. The record is from RNAcentral.